AUGACCAUAGAUCGAACCUAUCCUAUUUUUACAGUGUGAUGGCUGGCUAUUCAUGGACUAGCUGUACCUACUUUUUUUUCUUGGGAGGGGACACUGCCACCAUGGCUGCUAGCAUUCCCUCUCUCAGAUCAUGAAAUGUAUGGGAGUGAGACUAAGAGAAAUACGAGAAAGGAGACAAUUACUAGCGUAUUAGGGGAAUGA
Molecule: ribosomal RNA, 201 nt
Filed under: Triticum aestivum (bread wheat)
Lineage: Eukaryota; Viridiplantae; Streptophyta; Magnoliopsida; Poales; Poaceae
Description: partial small subunit ribosomal RNA
Source: RNAcentral